Gasterosteus aculeatus aculeatus (three-spined stickleback) is the source of this 17189-nucleotide long non-coding RNA. The record is from Ensembl. Lineage: Eukaryota; Metazoa; Chordata; Actinopteri; Perciformes; Gasterosteidae.
GAGAGAGAGAGAGAGAGAGAGAGAGAUAGCAACAUAGUUGAUAAUGCAUCGAUGUAUAGUUGACCGGGAAAUAUGAUUGAAAAUCCAUUGAUUUUUGGUUGACCGGGAGAUCAACGGGUGGUAAACCAACGACACAAGCUCAUUUCUGGACCCUUGGCACAAGCGUAGCUACAGGUAAGCUUGCUUAAUGUUCGAUAUGAAUGAAUCAAAUACCGUUAGGCUGAUCGUUGUAGUAUAAUGAUUAGUCUAGUAACCAACGCAGUGCUGCAGCUAACGUUAGUCAUGAAAUAGAUUUUUGUUUUACUAAUGUGUUAAAAUCUUCCAAAAGCAGGCUAGCCUACUUCGUGGUUCUCUUUACAGUUAGCAAAACCUCAGAGUCCAGUCUAUUUUUAUAGCUAGCUCAAAAUACACGUCACUCGGUACCCAUUGCUAAUAGUGUCGGGAAAUCUAUUUUACAGUCACCGCUAUUUCUUCUGCCCGCCGGAAAACACUAUAAUAACAGUAUGCUCCAUCUAGCGCUAACGGUAACGUCCAUCAAGCUAGCCUGUUGGCGGCGCCGUGCGCUCAAACCUUUGAGAAAUCAUGGCUGAUUAGCACUACGUAGCCACCACCAAGGGCACGAAGUCAUGUCGUGCAUGUUUGAGCUCUAACGUUAACGUUACCCCACAGAAGUGACCGCGGCGGGCCAGAAUUACACAAAAUACAUGACUUACCUUAUUAUUCAAUGCAGAACUGUCUCGAGUUGUAACUGGAAAAGCCAACCAUCUCGUCGUAAUACAAAUCCAAAAUAUUAAAAAUCCUCGAGCAGGGCUGCAUAUGCGUGGGAUACAGUUUUGUAACUCCUGUUUGUCGUUUUAUAGACAAGUUUACGAGCCGUUUCGUGGGCGCCAUUCCUCUACAGAAAUGCAUUUCACUUCUGCCGGUGGUUUUCCCAGCGUCUGCCGGUGUAAACAGCGAUGUCGAUGCUAGUUUGGGAACACGGAUCUACGUAUUUGACUGAGAUGGCGUUACUAUCCCGCACCCCAAUCCAGUGCAGAACUGGGAGGAUAACAUGACAUCGUGGCCCAGCAUUACGUACAGCGAGAUUUGCUCAUACUUCGUGCAAUCGAGCAAUGGACAGUCUGAAAGCCUCCGAGGCAGUUCAGUAUCUGACAGCAACAAAGCCGGUUGUGUCAUGUCAUACAAACAUGACCGUUUUGUAUAUCUAAAAACAAAAGUACAUGUUUGCUCAGUGUAUGUGUUAAUAUAUUGGGCUAAUUUUGUUAUAAUUGCACAAGAUAAUUGUUUAUAAAUACAUUUUAUAAUCUAAUAAUGUCAACAGUUAAUAACCAAAUUAAUGUUAAAAGAACGUUCAGGAUAUUUUUAAUAAUUGUUUUAAUGUUAAUGUUAAGGUUAAUCUUUUUCACACAAGCCCAUGUCAGAUUGAUGUGCCUCUGUGUCUACAGGAAAUACACAGAAAUUAAAUAUCAAGUCAAUUUUAUUCCUAACAGGUAUUAAAAAGUAAAAUACAAAAGCAGCCCACACAAUUACAUCACAAUGAAAAUAUUCAUAUAUUAAAAGAAAAUAAAAUGCAGUAUUUGUUUAUCUGUAUUUAAUGAACAAGAUGACUAGGUGUUGGCAAGGCUCUAAACCUCACGAGGCACUCUGAUCAGUGGACUCUUCAGGUUAACUAGGCCAGCAUAGAUGGUUAAGAUGUUGUGAUAAACUUAUCACUGCUUCUGCCAGCAUUAUCACUAUUAUCACUUUGGCCUAGCUACUGGAUUGAUGUCAAAACUGAAAUCUUUGAUCCUUCCUGCCAAUUUGACGACAAUUAAGCUGCAGUUCAGUAUAGAUGGUUUACGGCUUUUCCGAAGGAGCAGAACUCAGUUCUGGCCCAUUCUAGCUACCAUUAAUGUUGAUUACAGAAAAUCGCCAUUCCUUGUCGGCCUUUUCUGUGGCUUUACCAAACCAAAGAGUGUCUUUGAGUUCUUAGGUCCAUUUAUUGAGGACCUGAGUGGCAUUCUAAAAAAUGGCAUUGUUCACAAUAGGCAGCAGAUUAUGGCAGAAGUGUGCUCAUUUAUAUGCGAUGCCCCAGCAUGAGCUUUUAUUAAAAAUAUAAAAAGCCACAAUGGUUAUUCAGGCUGCGACAAGUGUUUUCAAGUGGGUGAAUGUCACAACAAAAUGACAUAUCCAGAAACAAAUGUUAGAUUGAGGACAGACACAGACUUCAACUCCAUGACCGAUGAUGAACACCACCAAAACCAAACACUAUCCCCACUAGCUAGUAUGAUCAAAAUGGUGACAAUGUUCCCAUUAGAUUACAUGCACUUGUGCUGUCUUGGGGUAACCAGGAAGUUCCUAUAUAUUUGGAUGAGGGGCAAAUCACUGGCAACUAGGUUGUCAAGUAAAUCAAUUGAAGAGAUUUCCGUUAAAUUGAAGGGACUUAAGACCCUACACUCCUUCUGAGUUCAGUCGGAAACCCAGGCACCUCUCUGAAAUAGAUCGGUGGAAGGCUACAGAGCUUCGAUAUUUCAUGCUUUAUGCUGGCCCAGUAGUCCUGAAAAAUACCAUUGCCCUUGAAAUUUAUGAAAACUUUAUGUUACUUUCUGUGGCCAUGCAUCUGCUGGUGUCUCCUGGAACAUCAGAGGAAAUGAUAGAUUGCGCUCAGAGAUUGUUAACUUCAUUCGUAACUCACUUUGGGCAGCUAUAUGGGAAAGGUGAAAUCACCUACAAUGUCCAUCAUCUAACACACUUGGCAUCAGAAUACCGUCUGUUUGGUCCCUUAGACAACAUAUCUGCAUUUCCUUACGAGAAUUAUUUAGCGCAACUGAAACACCUAUUGCGCAAGCCUCACUUGCCUUUACAGCAAGUAGUUAAAAGGCUCUCAGAAUCACCUGAUCCGACCUUGGACACAGUGAAGAAAGGACAAAAAUUCAUGCAUCCUCAUUAUGAUGGUCCAUUAAUCUCUUCAUUAAGUUGUGGAGACCAGUACCGUAAGCUUGUCACAGAAAAGUACACAUUAUCAUCUUGUUCUGGGGAUAAUUGUUUUCAAAUUGUAGAUGACAUUGCCAUUGUUGAAAACAUUGUCAAGGUAGGUCAGGAGACUUACAUAAUUUUUCGAAAGUUUACCAAAAAAGAGUCCUAUGGCCAGUAUCCCUUUCCUUCGGCAAACAUUGGGGUAUAUACAGUUUGGGGGUUGUGCAAGUAUGUCGGUGUGACGAGGCUUCAGCACAUUGGCAAAAAGUACAUACUUUAUCCUGACAAAACACAGUUGAUUGCCAUUCCCAUCAUUCACACCAAUUAAAAUGUCCAAAUCAGUUUAUAAGUACAUUUCUUUUUUUUUAGAGUCUUUGAAAAAAUUAAAAAAUGUCCAGAUGGUGCGUUGUGCAGUUCAGCAAUGGUGCAACAGAAACUGUGCCAAACACAUGGGUGGAAGGGGAUAAAGUCUUCUGGCCCCCAUACCCUCCUAAGGACUCUAUUAGGCUGAAUGCAGCCAUCCUGAACAGAGAACAGCCUGGACAGGGAUGGCACACAUAUCAACCUAUCCGGCUCCUCAUAACUCGUGGUGGGUGUUCUGGUAUAAGAAUCUGAAAUAUGCUUGAAAUAUGUCACUUGGCAUGCAAUGAGUCUAUAUAAUAUAUUAGUUUAACAUUUUAAGUUGAAUUCCUGAAAUAAAUGAACUUUUCCACAAUUUAUUGGGAAGCACUAGUAUUUCUCCUGACUCCGACAGUACUUGACUGAUUAUGCUUGUAGAUAGCCAUGAUGAGGCAGUGAGGAGCCUGGACAGAUAUGUGAAUAAAGACUGUGACACCACUGACAUCCAGUCUGAGGAGGAGAGCCACCAUGGCCUAAAAAGAAAAAGAAGACCAAAUCCAUUGUAUCAUUCCGAUGAGGAGCCCCAGAAUGAGCGGAGAUUCGCCCAAGCCCCCAAAGUUUUACUUCCAGCAAUCCAACUAGCCAGUCAGGACAGCCAACCACCACCACCUCCACGAAUACAUCAAACCCUCCAGUGCCCCAAUUCCCCCAUGUGUUCUUACCCCAAUGUCCCAGCAUUGUUCCCUGGAGAUGAAUUGGCGUUCUCCCCCAUGAAUUUACUCCAGAGGCCAUCUCCUGAAGAUGUGGCCAUGCAAAAACUUCUUACUGCAGUGACAGAGUUGUCCAAGGAGGUGAAGGACCUGCGAGAGGAGUUCAGGCAAUUCCGCCAGUCCUGCAAGUGUGGACAGUCGGAGUCUGUGGGACGGCCACUGGCGGAGCCCUUGGAGCUGCCCCUCCGCACUAUGGAGGCCCUGGACCGUAAGAGAUACUGCUAAACAGCACAAACCGCCAGGCAAUGGUAGUGGUUUAAUAGUUACAUUAUUCUUCUUUCAGAAAACUUCACUGAUAUGCACAACUUCCUUAAACUGCCUGCCAGUCAUGACAGUAGACUAAUGGGUUAAUUUGUAUUGAACCUUAAUCUCAGUAAUUCCACGUUUCACAUUUCAAUAUCUCCUAAAAACUGCUGUUGUUUCAGUACACCUUUAUCAAUCCAAGUUACAUUCAGACUGAAAACAAAUAAUUAUGCCCAGACCAAAUUGGCUGAAAAUGAUGUUCAAUCAUUGAAACACUGGGUAUUUGACAAAAGCAGAAUGAAGAAAUCCAAGACCCUGAGUGUUUUUUACUCUGGAGUUACAUAUACUACAUGCGUUGCUUCAUAUUUGUUGUUAUCAAACAUGGCUGAAAGCAAACGAAGGAGCUGGCGAAAAAGAUUGGUGCAACAUCCAUUAUUUGUACUUUAUUAUUUGGACGAGCAGCAGCAAACUAUAGACAGAGUGUGUGGAGCAACAGUUCGGUAACACGACUAAUCUAUUCUACCACCUCAAAUUCAAAACAAAACCUAUUACUGAAUACCAGCGCGCACGUAUUAUUCACAAUCUAACUUAGUUGUUUAACUGUUAGCAUAUAAUCUCUGUCUGCUCCUGAUUUUAAGAAUCGUUGUGUUGCUUUUUAAAUGGCAAAAACAUCGUUUUUUCUGCUCUUUGCAUGUUUUGUGUACAUUAAGAAAACAGGCUAACUAAAACUACAUUUGGUUGAACUAUUUUGCACUUUUUACUGUCUAUGGCAUGGCGCUAAGUGAUAUAUUUUGAGCCUUAUAAUUUUGAUGAUUAUGGCUUACAGCUUUUCACAAUAUUCUCAUUUUAAAUUUGGGGUUUCAUAUGCUCCAAGCCGUAAUAUAAACAUUAGGCCUACUUAAGUCUCUGCAGCUAGUGUACUUACAUUUUAUUUAACUGCAAAAUUACGUUUUGCGCAAUAUUUGUUUUCAAAACUACAUACACCCUUUCUUUUUUACAUACAUUUAGCAGUUGUUUAGCAGGGUCUGUGUAACCUGUUCUGAAAUGGUUUUAUUAUAAUUUAUAUUGCGAUAUAUAUCGUUAUUGCAAGAGGCUGCAAUGUAUAUCGCAAUAUGGAUUGUAGGCCAUAUCGCCCAUCUCUAAUUGAUAGCCUAAUAUUAGUUGAUAAUAACAUAGGUCUACCUAAUGUAGUACGGACGGUAACAGUACGGUAGUAAAACCUUUUACUGUCUAUGAGUAGAACAGCUUUCUCAAGCAGUUUGUGACGCAUUUUGUAAACAGGAGAUGAGCCCCUGUUCUAAUGCGCCACCUGGCUUGAGAAACCCAUUCUCAAAGACCUGAAUGUAACGUCGUUGGAUCUAGGAAUAUAUUGGCAUGAUCAAAUGUAAAUCCAGUCUGCAUGUGUUAAUGCUGCAAAUUUGUUAUUUUUGUUGCCAGACCGCUCGUCUCAUCACUAUUGGAGGUGAGGGUCCGCCGUAUGAUGGCACACCUGUUGUCAAAUGAACUGGCUUCUGGACUGAACUGGGCUGGAAAAAAGAACAAGGAGCCUACAAAACAAAAACGUCCGUUUAAAGAGUUGGCACUCUGCCGAUCUAUGUUUGGUAAGUCCUGUUCCAUUUUCAAUCACCAUUAUAUUAUCAAUCUUAUACCUCAAGCCAAAAAGGGCAUAAUGCACACCCAAACUCACCCCAUGCAGCAUCAAGAAUCUUAGCACAAAGUUAACACAAUAAUCCAAUAGAAACCUCCGCAUUCAGUGACUUCAGUAACAGUGUUUUAUAAUUGUUAAAAGGAUUAGUUCACCUCAAAAUGAAAAUUUCCUGAUAAAUUACAAUGCCAUCCAAGAUGGUAAUGCCGGUCUUUCUUCAGUUCCACACAAGUUUGCGAUGCUGUUAGCGAAUGUUCAUUAGAACGAUGGUUUCAGGAAACACCGAAUUGUUGAACUAGGCUGAUAAUGACAGAACUUGCGACCAUAGUUGGCUAACAAUGCUUUCAGGAAACGCACCCCAGGGUCGGCUCACACUAGCUGGAAUAGGUAGAUCUACACAUUCACAUCUUACUUGUUGCAUGCGCAAAUAAUGAUACACUAAUACAAAAGAAAACAUUUGUAUUCACAAAUUCUCUAUUUGUACAAAAAUAAUAGUAAAACAUAUCUGCAACAUUUAUCAAGUUCAUGAAUAACAUUAGGCUAAUUGUGCGUGCACGUGUUAAUAAUGUGUAGCAUAUACUAUAUUGAUCCCAAAGGUAGGCUUAUAAUAACAUAUAAAUUACCACCCACCCAGCGAUAAGGCAGCAUUAUGUUAACAGCUGCCCUAUGGUGAGGUAACGUUAGGCAACGUGCUAUGUGCUGACAGGAAUUGGAGCAUGCGUUGCCUGGCUGACCAUUUGAGUUUGUAUUAUUAUUAUUUAGAGAAAUUUGGAACUAGACCACAGGUAACUUACAGUCCAAGUGAGUUAGCAAUAUCAUUUGUAUAACAGUAACUUACCUUUGGUUAGUAGCCAGAAAGGUUUGUCGUGAAGAAAUGUCAGAUGUCGAUCCGGAAUGGUUGCCAGAUGCCAGCAAGGUUUUCCAGCCCAAAACCUUGUCAAAACCCGAAUGCAAUGGUUGAACUCGAGAUGCAAAUGCACAAAAAACUGCACACCAAAUUAUUUUGGCUUGUUUGUCGUUUUAAACGCAUUGAAAAACGCGGCAACUUUUCUGCAUCCUCUUUAUUGCCUCAGUCAGCAGCUGCCUUUUUCGUUUUCAAACUGGUCGCACGUGAAACGAAUGACCCUCCGCUAAGCCACGCCCAAAAACAGUCACUGGCCAAUCGUGGUGUAGCAACAGUAACUAAGGAGAGCGGGGCUUGCGUACCGGUAUGUAUGUGCAGAGCGCAAAAUUAAGUUUAAUGGUUAAAUGAAAUAAAACAACGAGGGCGCGCCCCGUGAAUAAACAGAAACAGCGUAUAGGCACUAUCAUAACAUAGCCUACAUGGGAAAUAUAGCUAUAUAGGCCUAAAGCAUGUACAUGUCCACUUAAAAAAAAAAAGCAUAAGCAAAUAGGCUAUCAUCUGAUUAUGUAAACUAAGAAAGAUGCAUUCCUCUCUUUAUUAAAGGCGCAUCAACUUUACAGUGCAGAUGAAAACAGUUUAUAAUAAAUAAUUAAAGUGCCUCGUUAAUUUUAAAGACAUAGGCUCGCUUAUUUAUUAUUAGUAUUUUUGCCUGUUUUUGCAGUAGACUGCAGAGAACAUAGACUUAAAAACAUAAAGAGAGACGUAGCCUAGGCCUAAACAUGCGCUCGAGCACUUGCUAUCCCUCCGUGCACCCAGUUAACUUAAGCAGAAAUGAAUAUUUAAUUAUAAUGAUAUUCAUAUUUUGUCUAUGGUAACUCUAUUCAAUACAUUUACUAUAUUUAAUUAGUUAUAAUAUAUUUGUUUUAAAUUUGUUCAGUUAACAAUUAGUUCUGAACUAAUAAAAUAAUAAACAUGCAUUUCACUUGGCCUCUUAAAUUUUCCUUAUGAAAGAUGUUGCAAGAUAAUUUCCCUCUCUUUAAUUCAAAUACAUCCAUGAACAUGUUGGGCAGUUUUGAAAAGUGCUUUGAAUGUAGGGGAAACAUAGGCUAGCCUACUUAGGCUAUCCAAUCAUUGAAAAAUCAUAGGCCUAUAAGAGGUUACUGUUGUUCCAAGUGGUCAAAUAUGUGUUCUGUUUAACUUAAAUGCUAAUUGAUUUGCAUUGUGAUUUUAUUUUUUUGUUUUAGAUGCGCUUACUCAGCAGAUGGGGGCAGAUGCCGUCACCCAAUUCAAUUUUUCCCAAGCUGUGCAAAAGUGGCUGCGCUAUGCGCCAGACCGGACAGGAGGGACUGGACGACAAAAUAAUCAGGCGUCAGAGGACAUUGAAGAGUAAAUAAAGAGUACAAAUAGUUAAAUAAAAAGGCUAAGGUGUGUUCAUUGUUUUAUAGGCCGAUUUCAAAUGUUCCAUUAGCCUACUUAACAUCCUAGCUGUAGAUAAAGCAGGCUAUUUAAUUUAUGGCAUUUAAAAUUAACAUUUAAAAACGAUUGAAAUUCCGUUGAAAUAACGUUGAUCCUUAGUUCAGUUGAAAUUUCAACAGUGUUUCAAUAUUCCUUUAAAUUGAAAUACCAUUGAAAUUCCGUUGAUCUAUGGACAGGAUAUCAACAUUGUUUCUGUUGAGUUGAGUUGCAGACCGAGCCCCUCUCUGGCUGGGAGGUAGGUUUAGGUGUGUCUCUCAGGCUGGAGGCGGAGAUUUUAAUGCACCAGGUGGAGAGGAUCUGGCGAUCAGGGGGGUUGGAGGCACUCACUCACAGGACAGUGAAGAGCGAGCAGUGUGAGAAAGCGAGAUUGAAGAGCUUGGAAAGAGGAGACUGCAGGAAUAAAGCUAAAGACUGAAGAAGGAGCCGGUGAGCUUUUGAGUGGCUGACUACUUAUGGCAUCAAAUGCAAGAUCAAAUGUCCAUAUAUUUAAUGUGUGUUUUAAAAAGUAUUCAAGCUAAAAGUAAUUGGAUAAAACUUGAUUUGUGUGUAUUCAGCGGAGUUAAAAGCUGCUAAAGUUUAUAAGGUUAAAAUCAUUAUUAAAUAGUGUUUUAAAAAUGUAUUUAAUUUAGUCUUGGGAUACUUUAAAUUUGGGUUGUCUUUCUACUUAUUUUUUAGGUUAAUUUCCAGUAGAUUAUAAAUUAAGUAUGUGAUGUUAGGUAUGUGAAUUGAUUAUGGUUUCUUGGGUUAUAUUUCUUUGACCUUCCAUUAGUGUUUGUAUUUCAAGGUUUUUCACCUGGUUUGACCUGGACAAUUUUAAAAAUAAAAAGCAAGAAAGCAAAGAAGUCCGAAUCUUGGUCAUUGAGUGGAAUCCAGUCUACACUUCUUAGCAAGUUGCCCUUUCAAGUGGAGAGCUGCAGUUUGAACCUCACAAAAGUGAGACACUUGACAGUUUCAAUAUUAAAUCAGGGUGCAAAAUGAUGUUGAAUCAACAUCAGAAUUCGACGUUGAUUCAAUGACUUAAUGUUGACAAUGCAAUGUUGAUUUAACAUUGUUUCAAUGACUGUUUGCUGUCUGGGAACACAUUCAGGGAUUGCACUUUCAAUCAUAAAGAUAACUAUAGAUCAAUGUUGUUCCAAUAUUGUUUCCAUCAACAUUAAUAACAUCAGGUUUUCAUCGAUAUGGUAAUGGUGAUUCAACGUUUAUUUUGCACAAUGUUUAUUCAAUGUUGGAUUGCUGUCUGGGAAUAGAUAUACGAAUACACAUAUACACUAUGUCAGAUAUUAUUAAUAUAAUUUUAAUUAUAAUCACAUUUGAAGAAAAUCCACUAACUUCUUUCAGCUCUUGAACCUCAAUGAGUCAGACGUCAGGGAUUUCACUUAACAAACAAAAAACAUCCACAUCCUGCACGGCAACUAGUGAAUGACAGAUUUGUAUUGGACAGAAUGUACAGAGCUGACAGCGAUUGGCUAACAAACAAAAACACGAACCCAGAUACUCGCGCGCGUCAAAUCCAAAACCGUGAGGUGACAAGCACUCGGGCAAUGACGUCACAGGCUCUGAGCCGUGCAGUACACACCCAUAAUAAAGAGGAGGUCGGAAAAAAGCAUAAAACAUCUGACGGGCUAAAAACUCGGUGGUCCGGUCAAAAUCUCCGAGAUGUGAGAAUUAGAGAGAAACGGACAGACAUAAAUUGCUUUACUAAUUAGCUCAAGUCAUCUGUUUAUGUAACAUUAUGUGCAUGAGCCAGUGGCAGCUAGCGCAAAUUAGCUAGCACUAUGCUAGAUGGCACAAUGCUAGCUAGUGCAAUGCUGGCUAGUACCAUCCCAGGUAGCAAACUGAAGCAGUAGCUAUGUCUCAAUACGUGGCCGGGGUCCUCCAACAACCGCAUAGGCUGAACCGAGCGAUCCCUGAAAUAGAUCCGUCUGUCCUACGUGAAGACUUCCUGUUUGCGUCAUCGGCUUCCCCUCCGCUUCUCCCGUUGCCUAGCAACCGGCAGCAAUUGCCAGUAAAAGCAGUGAAACACCUAAACAUGUACAAAAUACAGCUGAAGAAGGAUAAUACUCUUCUUAUUUAAUUUAAUUUAGGAAGAUAUGCUUCUCCUCCGGACCAUGAUAUAGUUCAGGCUGAGAAAAGAACAUUUCUGUUUUUUAAAAUUAAUUAAAUCAGUUAAGCCAUGAACUAUUAUCUAAAAGUAAUAUUAAUAAUAAAGAAGAGGUUGGAAAAAAGCAUCAGAAAGAAAGAGGGGAGGAAUGGAAAAAGGAGGGAAGGAAGGGAGAGAGGGGAAGGAAGGAAGAAAAGAGGGGAGGAAGGGAGAGAGAGAGGGGAGAAAGAAAGAGGGUCAGGAAGGGAGGGGGGGAAAGAGAGAGAGGGGGAGAAAUAGACGGACAGAGUGAUUAACAGUGAGAAGGCAUCGAUGCGUUUUUUAUGUCUGUCCGUUAAUAAAUACGGCUCCUGUUGAAGUUUACAAAACGUGUACCUUCUGGAUUUUUUGAGAAAUAUGUCGGCAGAUUUGUAUUGGAGCCUAUGGGGCUUUUAGCAGAGGUUGUGUGACCGUUGGUCUCCGUAGGCCAAAACUAAAGAACUCUGGGAUUCUAUGAGCACAUUAAUCCAAUCAGCACAGCCAUGUCCCCAUUAAUCUGAAGAAAUGAAGCCUCUAGAGUGUACACUUUGGCUGCAAGGACUGAAGUUCCAUAUUUUUUUAACCAGAUUCUGACGCUGCCUCACACUCUGAUCUCCGGGUCUCACUCUAGCAGACGCAAUACACACUCAUGUAAAAGUCAGAAACGGAGCGAAGAACUAGUGAAACAUAAUCAGUGAUUAUGAAAAAAGUAGAAUAGAUAUCAACAAGCUGUUUGUUUCGUGAAAUAGUUGAGACUUGUGUCAACAUUUGAAAGUUGAAAUGGUGUCUGUAGCUGAAAGAUUGGCGGAGCUGAAAAAUCUGAAAGUUGAAGAAGUUUAAGAGGAUUUGAAAACAAACUCCAUUGGAAAACCAUGUGAAGAAAUAUUCAUGAUUACUGAUUCAUAUAAAUCCAAGCUUAAAAGGUAGAAAGCUCAAAAGUCAUAGCUAGAAAGCCAGAAAGGAGCUGAAUAUUUUAAAAUGUGAACGGUUUUAAUAGCUGAAAGUGUGGAGGAGUUGAAAGGUGCAACGGAAGAAAUAGAAGAAGAAGAAGAAGAAGGCGGAAUAAAGAUUCGAAGAACAAUACUUGAAUGGUUAAUGCAUUCCAACAAUAAAUUGAUUUUGUAUGAUUAGUAACCAGGCACUAAAGCGAUAACACAUAAAACGUGCUUUGAACCAAUCCGAUUGCUUGGGUCCUAAGCUCGGACUCAUCUCUUCAGUAGGACUAAUUUGUUCACCACACCGUCUCUAUGGUUAGAAUCCUGCGUGUCCAUGGCAACGCUCUGCUUUGCAUGGCAACGCAGCGCUUAAAAAGGGGUGGGGCUACAUAAACUCUAUAAGCAAGGAAUCUGUCUGUAAGGAGUCUAUGUAUGUAUAUUAGCUGUUAAGGUCAGUGAUGGAGAGGGACAGUUUGAUGAUGACCCCUUCAGUCAUAUUGAUGAGGAGGGAGAGAAGGAGGAGCAGCAGGAGAGAGAAGGAGGAGAAGAGAGGAAGAGGAGCAGUAGGAGGAGAGAGAAGGAGGAGAAGAGAGGAAGAGGAGCAGCAGGAGAGAGAAGGAGGAGAAGAGAGGAAGAGGAGCAGCAGGAGGAGAGAAGAGGUGGUGAAGAGAGGAAGAGGAGCAGCAGGAGGAGAGAGGAGCAGGAGAAGAAAGGAGGAGCAGCAGCAGGAGGAGAGUGGAGGAGGAGCAGCAGCAGGAGGAGAAGAGAGGUAGAGCAGGAUCCAGGAAACAGACUGGUAGAGGGGCAGUGUGCAGGGCUGGGUGGGCAAUCAUAUUAGGCAUAUCAAUCAAUCAAAGCUUUAUUAAGGACACGCACACAAAAAUAGAAAAAUAAAGCACAAUGUUACAUAUGUUACAUAUUUACAUAUAGGAUAAAAUGCCGAUAGUUCCACAUACUAGAUAAUAACCUGACUGAAGCACAGAUUGAAUUACAAAAUGUAUUAUUCUUUGCCAUAUUUAUUACUCAUGUUCUUCUCAUGCAUAUGUUAUGUAGCUGUACAAUCCGUAAGCAGAUGCAGGGUCCAGCAUAGGGGAAGCUGAGGCAGGGAGAGUUGAAAGUGAGUACAUACACACACACACACACACACACACACACACACACACACACACACACACACACACACACACACACACACACACACACACACACACACAAUCUCUAUUGUAUGGAACUGAAUUGUAAUUUUUGAGUAUGAGUGGGUGUGAGUAUUUGUAACUAUUUUAACACUCCGACUGACUAUACACAUGACAUGAUGGUAGUUAGCAGUAUACUGUGUGACUUAUGUGUUUGAGAUUAGGUUUUGCUGACCUGGUUGUGUUCAGUGCAGUGGUGACUUGCUUAUAGAACCUGAGGAGGCAGGUGUUAUCCUAAAGUUUCUUGAAGGUCUUUAGCGUAAUCUGAUUGUCUUUAUACCAUAAAAACACUAUUAGAAUGAAAAUAACUGCAAAAAAUCCUGCUCGUGCACCAAGGGCAUUCGCAUAAAAGGCCUCUCCGACUUAGUCCCGGGCUGAAUUUCAGUCCCAGUACAUCCCUGGGUUGAUCCAUACUGGUUGUACACGGCGCUCAAGGCGCUCUGCCAAACAUGCCAAAGCUCAUCUACGACGGCGAGAUGCUGGACGGCGAGAUGCUGAGCGGCGCUCAAGCGCGUGAGAUAUGGAGCUUGUUUCAGGGCGCGUCGGAGAAACAAAGCUGUCGUUCUCGGCGAGCACUUCAUGAGAUUAAAGAGCGAGAGACGGCGCCCUUUUCUUUACAGUAGCUGAACCAUCUUAACGGGGAAAUAAGUUAUUCUAAAAGCAGCCGAAGAUUUAAGGCGUGGAUAGCGAGGGGGGCGGCGGGAGCGGACGCACCUCGCAGCAUCGAUCGGACCCUGAAAGCACCGUCUCCACCUUACUGUCAAAAAGAACAGCGAGCGCGUAGAAAACCCCUUCGAGCGCGAGCAGAGAUUCUCCUCGCGAGCAACGAAGUUCACGUUUCGCAAGCAAGCAAAUACCUCGCCGAGACGAACUUGCUCGCGGAUGUUUGAUUUUGGUUAAAUUCUUAAGGUCAUUUAAUCAUUAUUACAUUAUGUGACGGGUAGUAUCAAGGGGUCGGACUGACGUCAUCAGGUUUUACCGGCCGAGUGGAGUCCCUUCGGACGUCGUUGGGGAGGGUUCAGCUCCUCAGCCUUUCCAGGUGGCGCACAAACUGCUGUUUUGCCGUAUCCGGGUACGAGUAGCGAUUAGCAAUUGUAACCAGCUGAUAUCAUAACAUUGUAUGCGUCCUGCGCUCCGGUUUUUAUUUCGGGUACUUGCCUACUGUUAUUUUCAUUCAUUUCGAGCGGGGGGUGCCCGUUAUGUGGAGAGAUAGUGUGGGUAUUUUCAUAGAUUAGAUUUUAGCAUGUGGUGUGAUAUUGCAUGAACUGUUUUUAACGCACUUUGUUUUGCCGUUGCGUGAGUGAGUUGCUGUGUGUGUGUGUGUGUGUGUGUGUGUGUGUGUGUGUGUUGCAUGUUUAUAGGUUGCACGGGUGAUUAGAUGUACUGGGAGAUUCGCUGCCUCCACACAGACGCUCGCCCUACCCUCACCGUGGUUAGGGACCCGGGCAAGUACACAGAUUGUUCCGUGAUAAACUGUCAGUCAAAUUAGAAUAGUUUUACGGUGUUUGUUUUUACUGAUGUACUGAUAAAUUAUUGUUUUGUACAACAAUAUGAUCUCUGUUCCUUGAGUAAACCGAACCUGUAUUUUUCAGUCCGGCUCGAGGACUUCCCCCUCUUAUGAUAAAGAAAAGACCCUGGUGUUAUCCCAGUACUUAGAAGUAAAACAGCCCCUCCUCCCGCCCCCCUACUUGGUGUCACAUUUGGUGUUGCUGGCAGGUCCAAGGACAGAGACAUAUUGCCAAAGCAAUUUUGGAAUGUAUGUUUGUAUAUACCGUGCAGCUGUUUCCCUAUAGGGUCCAUACAUUUGUUGAUAGGCUUGUGUUUGGUGUAUUGUGGAGCAAAAACAGCAGUUUGUGUGCCGGAGGACCCCUAAGACAACGCUUCCAGCAGUUUUCGGAGAAGACACGGUGUUAUCAUGGACGAGGAGAUGCAAGAACUUCGGGAGAUGGUGCAAAGGUUGAAGGCAGAUAAUGAGCGGCUGUUACAGGAAAGACAGGCCCUUAACCCGGUCCCGGGCUCCUCGACCGCACCUCCCUCUGUCAACGAUGGUAGUCCUGACUCUGCGCAAAAACUCGAUACUCUCGGUAUGGAAACCCUACCAGGUCGCCACCCGUUGUUGAGCGUGUGGUGUACAUUCCCAAGGAUAAGUGUUCCACCUUUACAGGAGAAGGGGAGGUAUCAGUGAGGGAAUGGGUGGAUGAGGUGCAGUCAAAAUUACGCACACAUAGGAUGUCUAUUGUAGAACAGGCUAAUUUAAUUUAUGACCAUUUAGGAGGAUCAGCAAGAAAUGAGAUUUAAGUAUCGUUCUAGACAGGUCAGGAAGAUCCCAAACUAUUUUUUUCCAUCCUUCAGACUCAGUAUGGCUGUGCAGACUCACCUACUUUAUUGCAGAAUUUCCACUCUCAGAAACAGAAAGAAGAGGAGACAUUGCGUGAGUAUGCAAAUGCGCUAUUCUCUCUAAUGGAUAUUGUUAUACAACAUUCUCCUGACGGAGUUGCACAGGCAGCUAGCCUCUUACGUGAUCAAUAUGUUGAGUUUGUGUCGGAUGGGGGCGGCACGGUGGCGCGGUGGUUAGCACUGUUGCCUCACAGCAAGAAGGUCCUGGGUUUGAUUCCGCCCAGUGGCCUUUCUGUGUGGAGUCUGCAUGUUCUCCCCGUGUCUGCGUGGGUUCUCUCCGGGUUCUCCGGCUUCCUCCCACAGUCCAAAGACAUGCUCUGGGGAUCAGGUUAAUUGGGGACUUUAAAUUGCCCGUAGAUGUGUGAAUGGGAGUGUGAAUGGUUGUUUGUCUCUGUGUAGCCCUGCGAUUGGCCGGCGACCAAUCCAGGAUGUACCCUGUCUAUCGCCCGAAGUUGGCUGGGAUGGACUCCAGCCCCCCCGCGACCCUGUGUGCAGGAUAAGCGGUUUGACAAUGGAUGGAUGGAUGGAUGUGUCGGAUGGCAACCUUAGCCGUGCGCUGAAAGAACUUGUUCGUAUUAACCCCGCCUAUGAUCUCCAUGAUAUCCGUGAUGCAGCCGUCCGAUUGGAGCGAGAAGGUAGACCACGAGAAGGGAGGCCGAGAAGCUAUUCAGUCCCGUCGGUUUAUAGCAUCCAUCAGGGUGCUUCAGGUAGACCCGAAUGCAUGGGCCCCCAUGCCACUUUGAAGGCAGAGGUAGCCAAGCUACGGGAAAUGCUAAAAAGUCAGUGUUGGGGGAAAAUUGUUGAGCCUGCGUGGGGUGAGGCUCUCAGGAAUGUGACCUUUGAUGUGAGCCGGUGACUUAAGGCAGUCCAGGGUGAGAUAAGACACAGAUGAAAUCAUAUGUGCCCUGACUGACCUUUUAGAUGUUGAUUGUCUGGGUCCAUAAAGGGAGGGUCACGGGGUCACCCCUACAUCAUCUGGUACUUUUCCAACACUCCUCUUGAGGGGUGGGCUCUCCUGUCCUGAGGCAGCACAAACCCCCUAAGUAUAAAACCUCCUGUUCUUCUCUUUAACUUUGUCAGAUCUUCCUGCUCCUUUUGGGGGAAGGAACAUCUGUCGCUUUUCAGCUGAAUUGUAGUCAUUUGACUGUCUGUGCUUACGACUUGUGCUGAUGAUUUCUGUAUUCUUUAUCCUUUUCCUAUAUUCUAGUUAGUAAUAAAUACUUAAUCACAAAGCAAGCUCAAGAUACUUUUGAUUUCUCACAUGGGCUAAAUCCACAAAUUUCCACCACAGUCAGCAGGAGCAGUUUAUGCAGUUUUCUAAAACAUUGUCGGCCUUAAGCGUCCCUAAGCACCCUCAGUUUCAAUCUAGGGGUGCAUUCAUCUGUAGGCAGUGGCAACAGCCAGGCCAUUUCGCUAGGGACUGUGAGAAUGGCAGCCCCCCAAUCUGUACAAUUCCACCCUUCUGGACGGGAUGGGCCAAGGUUCUCGCAGCCGCCGUCGGAAAACUAACACCCUCUGACGGGCAGAGCCGGCAAUCAGAAGGGGUCAUGUUAGGCUCGGAUAGCAUAGUUCAGAUCGACCCUGAAUCAAUCUCUAAGUUGGUACAUCCUUGCCCCCAUGUUGUUGUCCAUAUCGCGGGGGUGGGAGUUUCCUGGUUGUUAGACACUGGAUCAAUGGUAUCCACCAUAACUGAAAGCUUCUUUAUUCAGCAUUUCCAGUCGUGGGGUCAGGAGAGGCUGCAGUCAUGCAGAUGGUUGCAGCUCAGAGCAGCUAACCAUCUAGACAUCCCCUAUGUUGGUUACUUAGAGUUAGACGUCACAGUGCUUGGCAAGGUGAUUCCAAAAUGUGGCAUUCUCAUUGUUAAGGACCCCUGCAAUCCUUACCCAAACCAGAUUACCCAGGUGUCCUGGGAAUGAAUGUUAUUGGUCAGUGUUUCGAAGAACUGUUUGGCCAACACGGAUUGGGCAUGUUUGACCUAUUAAGGAUGCGAAUAGCACCAGGCCUUGCAGUACUGUCAUCAAGGGCACCUCACACCACAGGCUGAGAAAGUAGGGGCAGUCAGAGUUAGAGGUAAGGCCAGAGUUUGUGUCCCGGCUGCCACCAUGAAACUAGUGGCAACCACUUGCUCCCAGGGAGUCUUUAAUCUUCGUGGCUCUGUACUAUUCCAACCCCCCUGAGAAUAGCAACCUCACCGGUGGCUUAUUGUUGGCACCAGCUAUCGUAAAGGUCGCACAAGGCACAGUGUACAUCCCGUUUGUUAAUGUAGGCACUGU